UACGGAGGGGGCUAGCGUUGUUCGGAAUUACUGGGCGUAAAGCGCUCGUAGGCGGCUUUGCAAGUCAGAGGUGAAAGCCCGGGGCUCAACUCCGGAAUUGCCUUUAAGACUGCAUCGCUAGAAUUGUGGAGAGGUAAGUGGAAUUCCGGGUGUAGAGGUGAAAUUCGUAGAUAUUCGGAAGAACACCAGUGGCGAAGGCGGCUUACUGGACACAUAUUGACGCUGAGGUGCGAAAGCGUGGGGAGCAAACAGG
RNAcentral lists this ribosomal RNA (253 nucleotides) under uncultured bacterium. RNAcentral's name for it is "partial 16S ribosomal RNA". It matches the Rfam family "Bacterial small subunit ribosomal RNA", at positions 524 to 776 of the family's 1533-position model. The record is from RNAcentral.